GCACGUCUGGGCCUCGGCCUUUCUGGAGCUGCUGACACAUCGGCCGUCUACUCUCUUCUGCGAGAACACAGAUCGGGGCUGCUCUGGCUUCCGAAAGGUGCGGCCAAACAGCUCUGUGUGCAUCGGGGCCCCGAGCAUCGCCUGAGGAAAACAAGCGUUUUCUUCUAAGACCUCCUCUAAAGCCUCCUAUUUACGGAAAUGUAACUGGUCUCUCUUCCCAUGUGCGAAGUGCUAAGGCUGCACAGAUAUGCGCAGUCACUGGGUGCCAACAGGCUCCAUGCCCAAUGUGGACUCAUGACACACGACCC
Lynx canadensis (Canada lynx) is the source of this 308-nucleotide long non-coding RNA. RefSeq lists it as uncharacterized. The record is from RefSeq and is a predicted model, not a curated record. The transcript is spliced from 3 exons. NCBI's taxonomy places the organism in Eukaryota, Metazoa, Chordata, Mammalia, Carnivora, Felidae.